UAGGGAAUCUUCGGCAAUGGGGGGAACCCUGACAGAGCAACGCCGCGUGAGUGAAGAAGGUUUUCGGAUCGUAAAGCUCUGUUGUUAAGGAAGAACGAGUGUGAGAAUGGAAAGUUCAUACUGUGACGGUACUUAACCAGAAAGGGACGGCUAACUACGUGCCAGCAGCCGCGGUAAUACGUAGGUCCCGAGCGUUGUCCGGAGUUAUUGGGCGUAAAGCGAGCGCAGGCGGUUAGAUAAGUCUGAAGUUAAAGGCAGUGGCUCAACCAUUGUAGGCUUUGGAAACUGGUUAACGUGAGUGCAGAAGGGGAGAGUGGAAUUCCAUGUGUAGGGGUGAAAUGCGUAGAUAUAUGGGGGAACACCGGUGGCGAAGGCGACUCUCUGGUCUGUAACUGACGCAGAGGCUCGAAAGCGUGGGUAGCAAACAGG
This 429-nucleotide ribosomal RNA is filed under the name Bacteroidota bacterium. Its description in RNAcentral is "Bacteroidetes bacterium partial 16S ribosomal RNA". It matches the Rfam family "Bacterial small subunit ribosomal RNA", at positions 355 to 776 of the family's 1533-position model. The record is from RNAcentral. Lineage: Bacteria; Pseudomonadati; Bacteroidota.